This 852-nucleotide ribosomal RNA is filed under the name Neofusicoccum australe. RNAcentral describes it as "eukaryotic LSU rRNA". The stretch from base 618 to 852 matches the Rfam family "Eukaryotic large subunit ribosomal RNA", at positions 1 to 233 of the family's 3401-position model. Lineage: Eukaryota; Fungi; Ascomycota; Dothideomycetes; Botryosphaeriales; Botryosphaeriaceae. The record is from RNAcentral.
CUUCGGACUGGCUCAGGGAGGUCGGCAACGACCACCCAGAGCCGGAAAGUUCGUCAAACUACGUCAUUUAGAGGAAGUAAAAGUCGUAACAAGGUUUCCGUAGGUGAACCUGCGGAAGGAUCAUUACCGAGUUGAUUCGAGCUCCGGCUCGACUCUCCCACCCCAUGUGUACCUACCUCUGUUGCUUUGGCGGGCCGCGGUCCUCCGCACCGACCCCCGUUCGGGGGCCGGCCAGCGCCCGCCAGAGGACCACAAAACUCCAGUCAGUAAACGUCGCAGUCUGAGAAACAAGUUAAUAAACUAAAACUUUCAACAACGGAUCUCUUGGUUCUGGCAUCGAUGAAGAACGCAGCGAAAUGCGAUAAGUAAUGUGAAUUGCAGAAUUCAGUGAAUCAUCGAAUCUUUGAACGCACAUUGCGCCCCUUGGUAUUCCGAGGGGCAUGCCUGUUCGAGCGUCAUUUCAACCCUCAAGCUCUGCUUGGUAUUGGGCUCCGUCCUCCGCGGACGCGCCUCGAAGACCUCGGCGGUGGCGUCUUGCCUCAAGCGUAGUAGAAAACACCUCGCUUUGGAGCGCACGGCGUCGCCCGCCGGACGAACCUUUGAAUUUUUCUCAAGGUUGACCUCGGAUCAGGUAGGGAUACCCGCUGAACUUAAGCAUAUCAAUAAGCGGAGGAAAAGAAACCAACAGGGAUUGCCUUAGUAACGGCGAGUGAAGCGGCAACAGCUCAAAUUUGAAAGCUGGCCCCCUCGGGGUCCGCGUUGUAAUUUGUAGAGGAUGAUUCGGCGACGGCUCCCGCCUAAGUCCCUUGGAACAGGGCGUCAUAGAGGGUGAGAAUCCCGUAUGCGGUGGGC